RNAcentral lists this long non-coding RNA (358 nucleotides) under Homo sapiens (human). RNAcentral describes it as "non-protein coding lnc-CHMP2B-1:2". Lineage: Eukaryota; Metazoa; Chordata; Mammalia; Primates; Hominidae. The record is from RNAcentral.
CCGACUUGUGCGAAAGGAGGGAACGUGUGGGUCUGCCAGGGUCCUGCAGGGGGGAUGAGACCCUCGCUCCGCUCCGGCGAUCCCUUCGCUCUCCACCCUCGGCCAGCCCCUCCUGUCCUCCAUCAGGCCUCGCUGAGGAUACCUCCUGGGUUCCAAAGCGCGAGUUGAACCUGAGCUUGACAUUCAUUCCGUCUCGUACAAAAGCCAUGCCUGCGGGGAGAGGGAGAAAAUUUCCUACAGGAGCCUCAAGACUGCGUUUCAGGAAGCCCUAGGACCCACUGAUCCUGCAGCUGCGCCUCUCACUCGCCUCAGGUCCUGAGCUGGAACGAUGGAAUCUAGCAGAAGUUGCCUUUCCAGA